AACGAACGCUGGCGGCGCGCCUAAUACAUGCAAGUCGAACGAGAAGCUGUAGCAAUACAGUUGUACAGUGGCGAACGGGUGAGGAAUACAUGGGUGACCUACCCUCGAGUGGGGAAUAACCAGCCGAAAGGUUGGCUAAUACCGCGUACGCUUCCCAGUCUACGGGUUGGGAAGGAAAGCGAUGCCGUGGGUAUCGCGCUCAAGGUUGGGCUCAUGUCCUAUCAGC
Molecule: ribosomal RNA, 226 nt
Filed under: uncultured bacterium
Lineage: Bacteria
Description: partial 16S ribosomal RNA
Rfam family: Bacterial small subunit ribosomal RNA
Source: RNAcentral